AGAUUGAACGCUAGCGGGAUGCUUUACACAUGCAAGUCGAACGGCAGCGCGGACUUCGGUCUGGCGGCGAGUGGCGAACGGGUGAGUAAUAUAUCGGAACGUGCCCAGUAGCGGGGGAUAACUACGCGAAAGCGUGGCUAAUACCGCAUACGCCCUACGGGGGAAAGGGGGGAUCGCAAGACCUCUCACUAUUGGAGCGGCCGAUAUCGGAUUAGCUAGUUGGUGAGGUAAUGGCUCACCAAGGCGACGAUCCGUAACUGGUCUGAGAGGAUGAUCAGUCACACUGGAACUGAGACACGGUCCAGACUCCUACGGGAGCAGCAGUGGGAAUAUUGGACAAUGGGACGAAGCCUGAUCCAGCCAUCGCCGCGUGUGUGAAGAAGGU
Molecule: ribosomal RNA, 385 nt
Filed under: uncultured soil bacterium
Lineage: Bacteria
Description: bacterial SSU rRNA
Rfam family: Bacterial small subunit ribosomal RNA
Source: RNAcentral